This is a non-coding RNA of Chiloscyllium plagiosum (whitespotted bambooshark), 1049 nucleotides long. NCBI's taxonomy places the organism in Eukaryota, Metazoa, Chordata, Chondrichthyes, Orectolobiformes, Hemiscylliidae. The record is from RefSeq and is a predicted model, not a curated record.
GUUUAGAGCCAAUUGUGGGAUAACAACAUGGAACUGAUUCUUACCAGAAAGUGGCAAAGUGUAAACUUUGCUCAUCUAUCCUGUCUUGCAGGACUUCCUUGAGAGAGGCUGAAACUUUGCUUGGCAGACACUGAAUUUAUUUUUCCUGACUCUGUGAACACAUCUUUACACUCACCUGGGAUAUGUCCCACAGUCAAUGGUUCAGUGUGCUGUGACACAUCGCAAAUCUCUUUGAGAAUUACCAGCCCACACUUUAAAUUUAUUCCAGACUUGAAAUGUGAGUUACUAAUUUAAGGAUGCACCUGAGUGGGGUGUUGACAUACCUGGCUUAUUUCAACAAAUCAUCUUCUCUUUCCUGAGGAAAGUAUCCUGACACUGUGAUGAAAACAUGGGCCACAGAGCAGUGCGGAGUGUUAAGACCACACAACAGGACCAUUGUCAUGUACUGCCUCAUAAAAUGUACUGUUACAGGGUCACUUCUUCUCCUCCACACACCCUUCAACCAUGGAGUCUUGGUUGCUGUUUGUACACAUCAGCAAAUCACGGUACACUUGCCAUGAUUUUCCAUUCAUUAAUUUUAAUGACAGAUAAUAGUGGGAACCACAUCCAUGAGAUCCAGAUACAUUUCCCAAUGGGGGGAAACAGUGCCAGGAAUAUGCAUUUGAAAAAAUUGGCUACAUGUAUCUAUCUACUUAUUUUUCUCAUUAACUGAAUUUUCAGGUAAUAGACAGUUGUCACAUACAUACAACAAAGAAACAAAGACUGGAGAUUAAGGGCAUGAACUUGCCAGAAUGUUCCACAAAGUGAAAAGAAACAAGAUCUUGACAAUGUUAUAGCACUGCUGUCCAUACUUUGCUAUGUUAGCUUUGUUACACAAGUUUUCAAACUUUUUUUGUCUUGAACGCGUCAAGUACGGAAAAUUGAUAUUCCUAAAUUAAUUUUUUUUUAACUCUUUGCUAAACUGGCUGAAGAAAUUAGAUUAUUGUCUUUAACAAAAUGGAAAAAUAGUUGGAGCUGGUCCUGCUCUGCUUUUGUAUUUUUACUGGAAA